AAGUCAGCAAGCAUGCGUCACAGUUUAAUCAAAGGGAACGAGAUUUGCUGCUUGCCUGAUACUUGCACCUAAGAUCAAUGAUGCAGGGAAAAGGAUCCAAUGUAAGACUACAAUCUGAAGUAACUCUCACUUCAAUACACAAAAUUUGAUGCUUUUUUUUUUUUUUUUCCUGUCCUCUACAUUAUCAUGAGCUGAGAAGAUUUUUCAACACAGACCUGAGAAGGUUGAAUUAAUAAUUGCAAAAAAGUUAUGGAAUAAGUUGACAGAAAAGGCUCUUUUUUGUUCGGUAGAGGACAGAAAGUAGUUCAAGCAUAUUGUAAUAGCACUCCCAGGCACCCCAUUACCUAUCAAGGCGGUACUUAACGAAGCAUUUACGGUAUGGUGCGCCAAAAAUACAAAGAAAUGUGUUAAUGAAUGUCAAUGAUGAUCAACAGAAAGCUCUUUACUUGUAGAUUAAACAGAUGAUUUCAUAAAUAUGCUUUUCAAUUACGCUUUUACAUCGUAUAUAUCUCAUCACAAAAAAUAAUAUUACGGUGAGUAAUAUAAAAAUGUUUUUCAAAUAAUUUUCAGCUCAAAUGGACUAACUUUUUUUUUUUUUUGCAGCAACCAUGGAAGAUCUCAAAAUAGUAAGAAGUUUGCUUUCAAGGAGAAAAAAAAGGCAAGACUAUGUAUAGCAUUCCAUAAAAAAGAAAAAGUUGAAAAACAACCCUUCACCGUAAUCUACAUCUUAUAGAUUUAAGCCAUCAAAAGGGGUAAGUGAAGAAUAACUUUUGAUCUUCUUCAUUUAAAAAAAAUAGUAAAAAAAUAAAAAUUAUGUAACUCUCACGAUC
This 830-nucleotide long non-coding RNA is filed under the name Coffea arabica (coffee). Its description in RNAcentral is "long non-coding RNA (CARA_LNC006698)". The record is from RNAcentral. Lineage: Eukaryota; Viridiplantae; Streptophyta; Magnoliopsida; Gentianales; Rubiaceae.